RNAcentral lists this long non-coding RNA (1116 nucleotides) under Equus asinus (donkey). RNAcentral describes it as "lncRNA (ENSEASG00005035180.1)". The record is from RNAcentral. Lineage: Eukaryota; Metazoa; Chordata; Mammalia; Perissodactyla; Equidae.
GAAAUGUGAAACACGAAUCUCUUCUUCACUCGAUCUGUGUGAUUCUAGAAUGUGAUUCUGGAAAGAUUCUGGUUAUACUCAGGCUGAUUUUUCUAAAACAUGCAAGCCAACUAUUUCAUCAGACUCAGCUGAAGAAACAGCUCUUGCAGUGCUCAAGGGAAAACUAGUAGGAGUAGUGUGAGCUGAACCCGAUUUGUUGCAGUCUAGGGGGUUAGGGAAGAUUCUUCUGGGAGGCAUUGGUCAGAAGAGGUAUGUGGGAGAAAACCACCUGCCCUUUACUGCUGUUUUUAAAGGAAUGCUGCCCAAAUGCUAUGCCGCCAAUUUAAAAGGGAAUGAAAAAAUUAUAGGAAACCCUCUGAAAGAAUGGUGACUCUGGCUUAAACAAUAGCCUAAAUUGUUUAAAUGGAGCUAUUCUAACAGAAUUAAGAACUGAUGGAUUAGAUUCAUUUGUAGGAGCCAACCAGAGCCCUUUCAAAUUAUUUUAAACCAAUUAAGCAGAGCAACACGGUUUAAAAAUAAUGUGCCAGUGACUUGGCUUAUGGUAUCUGCAUGUGCUAUCUGAACAGAAUAAAUCAGAUGAAGCUAGUGUUGUUCAUUUGUAACCUAACAAAGUUUCUUAUGGCUGUCUUACCAUUUCCUCAGCUCUGCUUUACUCUUUGAGAUCACAAUAGUCAAUGAUGUUGAGAAGUUGAGAACAUCAAAAAAAACGUGAAGUAAUAAGCAUAAAAAAUUAGGUGUGAAACUAUGCAGCAGAAUGCAUUCAAGUAAGGUUCUCCCUGAGAAGCACAACACCAAUUAUGUGUUAAAUACUAUGGGGCCUGCCCAGUGGAGCAGCGGUUAAAGUUCGCUUUCUGCUUCAGCAACCCUGGGUUCACCAGUUUGAAACCUGGCUGUGGACCUGUGCACCGCUUGGCAAGCCAUACUGUGGCAGGCAUCCCGCAUGUAAAGUAGACGAAGCUUACAAUCUGACUACUGGAGGCAGAGAUUAGUAAAUACAAUUUGCAUACCGUGGGCAUGCUGUAUAACCUGGGAAGCCAUAAAAUGGAAGACACAGGGACUCUCAACGUAUGGAGGAAAUCUGCCUGACAACCAAGAACACCCACCCUUAAGAGCAAG